CGCCGCGGCCUCCCUCAGCCUCGCACCGCUGGGCACUCGCUGUCUCUUCCUCUUCCUCAGCCUCCUUUGUCGCCUCCCUGGUGGCCCGAGGGGGGCGGAGGACGCUGCGUGGCCAGCGGGGGAGGGGCGGCCCUGCCCCCGCCGCGCGGGGAGAGGCGCUCGGGCCUUUCUAAUACGGAUUAUUCAUCACAAGUUUCAAGCUCAUUAAAAAAAAAAAAAAAAAAAAGGAAAAAAAUUAAAAAAAAAAACCCCAAACCAAUCCAAACCCCGCGAGUCCGGGUGCGAGGUGUGCAAAAUGGUGGAUUAUUUUGUAGCUGUUUAUUCGGAUUUGCAAAUGGCUGCAGUGGCUGCUGCUGGCACCCGGAGACAGGACGAUUGUGAAAAUUCCCCCAAGGGCCUCGAUUGCUGCAUCUGCUGAGAUGACGCAACUCAAGAGUGGAGCCUGCGGGUGAAGGAUGGUGCAGAGGGAGGGGCCAGCGCUGCUCUGCCACGGGAGGAGUGAAGCAGCCUUGAAAAGGAUGGGGAGAAACUUAAAAAUACUCCUCACACCUCCAGAAACGCAGCGUGUUCCUCCUGGAGCGCUGAGCGUUGUGGAAUCGCUCUGAGGAGUUCAGUGGGAAGAGGUUUGGAGGUUUUGCAGAGGUUCAGCUCGAGCUGGAAAUGCUGGAGUUGAUGAUUCCCUGGAGUUGCCUGGCCUCGAGCUGGGAAGGUCUCUGGUGAAUCUCCAGUGAGCCCUGCCUUGCUGGGCUGGGGCUUUGUGCUGCCUGAGAACGAGGAGGG
Molecule: long non-coding RNA, 780 nt
Organism: Oenanthe melanoleuca
Lineage: Eukaryota; Metazoa; Chordata; Aves; Passeriformes; Muscicapidae
Exons: 2
Source: RefSeq, a predicted model, not a curated record